Molecule: RNA transcript, 3917 nt
Organism: Triplophysa rosa
Lineage: Eukaryota; Metazoa; Chordata; Actinopteri; Cypriniformes; Nemacheilidae
Gene: dnm1a
Gene name: dynamin 1a
Exons: 25
Source: RefSeq, a predicted model, not a curated record
UAGGGAGGUGGUGGAGAGAGAGAGCGAAAAGCAGCUCAUCAUCUCAGAGGGACUGCAGAGACACAGAGCCUCAGAACAAUCAAUGCAGAAAUAAAGCAGCACAAAGGCGCAACAUCACCUGAACAUCUCGCGCAGGGUGAUCGGGACCGUGUUUUUUCCGGGAAGAGCUCGAGCAGGUGCGGAUCGUCAGGAUGGGGAACCGCGGGAUGGAGGAUCUGAUUCCUCUGGUGAAUCGCAUGCAGGACGCGUUCUCGGCCAUCGGUCAGAACGCGAAUCUCGACCUGCCGCAGAUCGCCGUGGUGGGCGGACAGAGCGCCGGCAAGAGCUCCGUGCUCGAGAACUUCGUGGGAAAGGAUUUCCUCCCGCGGGGUUCUGGGAUUGUCACCCGUCGUCCUCUUGUUCUGCAGCUCAUCAACUGUCCCACAGAAUAUGCAGAGUUCCUUCAUUGCAAAGGGAAGAAGUUCACAGAUUUCGAUGAGGUGCGACAAGAGAUCGAGGCAGAGACGGAUCGCGCCACGGGCCAGAAUAAAGGCAUCUCGCCCGUGCCCAUAAACCUGCGGGUGUGCUCUCCAAACGUGCUGAAUCUGACGUUGGUGGAUUUGCCAGGAAUGACCAAAGUUCCAGUGGGCGAUCAGCCGGCGGACAUCGAGCAACAGAUCAAAGACAUGCUCAUGCAGUUUGUGACUAGAGACAACUGCCUUCUGCUGGCCGUCACACCCGCCAACUCCGAUCUGGCCAACUCUGACGCCCUGAAGAUUGCCAAAGAAGUCGACCCGCAGGGUUUGCGUACUAUUGGUGUGAUCACCAAGCUUGAUCUGAUGGAUGAAGGCACAGACGCUCGCGACAUUUUGGAAAACAAGCUGCUGCCGCUGCGGAGAGGUUACAUUGGUGUGGUGAACCGCAGUCAGAAAGACAUUGACGGAAAGAAGGACAUCCACGCUGCCAUGGCGGCCGAGCGGAAGUUUUUUCUCUCUCAUCCCGGUUACAGACACCUGGCCGAUCGCAUGGGGACGCCGUACCUGCAGAAAACUCUCAAUCAGCAACUGACCAAUCACAUUCGAGACACGCUGCCCGGCCUGCGCGCUAAACUCCAGAGCCAGCUGCUGUCCAUCGAGAAAGAGGUGGAGGAGUACAAGAACUUCCGUCCAGACGAUCCGUCCCGCAAGACCAAAGCCCUGCUGCAGAUGGUUCAGCAGUUCUCCGUGGACUUUGAUAAGCGUAUCGAGGGCUCUGGAGAUCAGAUAGACACGUAUGAGCUGUCUGGAGGAGCCCGAAUCAAUCGCAUCUUCCAUGAGCGCUUCCCCUUCGAGCUGGUGAAGAUGGAGUUCGAUGAGAAGGAGCUGCGUAAGGAGAUCAGCUACGCCAUCAAGAACAUUCAUGGCAUCAGGACGGGCCUGUUCACCCCUGAUCUGGCCUUUGAGGCCAUAGUGAAAAAGCAGAUGCAAAAGCUAAAUGGACCGUGCCUGAAAUGUAUAGAUAUGGUCGUGAGCGAACUCACCUCCACCAUUCACAAAUGUAGUGAGAAGCUGGCCCAGUAUCCCAUGCUGAGAGAAGAGAUGGAGCGGAUCGUCACACAACACAUCCGGGAUCGUGACAGUCGCACUAAAGAUCAGGUGUUGCUGUUGAUUGAAAUCGAGCUGGCCUACAUGAACACAAACCAUGAAGACUUCAUCGGAUUUGCUAAUGCUCAGCAGAGGAGUAAUCAGACGAAUAAGAAGAAGGCGGCCGGUAAUCAGGAUGAAAUCAUGGUGAUCAGAAAGGGUUGGCUGACCAUUAACAACAUUGGCAUCAUGAAGGGUGGUGCUAAAGAGUACUGGUUUGUACUGACAGCUGAAUCUCUGUCCUGGUACAAAGAUGAUGAGGAGAAAGAGAAGAAGUACAUGCUGCAGGUGGACAAUCUGAAGUUCAGAGAUGUGGAAAAGGGUUUCAUGUCCAGCAAACACAUCUUUGCUCUGUUCAACACCGAGCAGAGGAACGUGUAUAAGGAUUACCGGCAGCUGGAGUUGGCGUGUGAGAGUCAGGAGGAGGUGGACGGAUGGAAGGCUUCGUUCCUGCGUGCCGGCGUCUAUCCCGAGCGCGUGGUGGAGAAGGAGAAGAGUGAUGGCGGUGAGGAGAAUGGUUCAGACAGUUUCAUGCACUCCAUGGACCCGCAGCUGGAGAGGCAGGUGGAGACCAUCCGUAACCUGGUGGACUCCUACAUGGCCAUCGUCAACAAAACCGUACGAGACCUGGUGCCCAAGACCAUCAUGCACCUAAUGAUCAACAACACGAAAGAGUUCAUCAAUGCUGAGCUGUUGGCUCAGCUGUACUCGUGCGGAGAUCAGAACACGCUCAUGGAGGAGUCGGCAGAACAGGCUCAGCGUCGAGAUGAGAUGUUGCGGAUGUACUUCGCUCUCAAAGAAGCGCUGAACAUCAUCGGUGACAUCAGCACCUCCACCAUCUCCACGGCGCAGCCUCCACCCGUGGACGACUCCUGGCUGCAGGUGCAGCGCUCCGGCUCGGGGGGACGCUCACCAGCCACCAGUCCCACCCCUCAGAGACGGGCUCCUCCUCCGGCACGCCCGGGUUCUCGCGGUUCCGCCCCGGGCCCUCCAGCUGCGGGUGGGCCACCGGUUCCAUCUCGCCCAGGGUCGUCUCCGGACCCCUUCGGUGCGGCUCCUCCUCAGGUCCCCUCCCGGCCUAACCGCGCACCGCCGAGCGUGCCCAGUCGGGGAUUGUGAACUCCUCACCAGCGCAGUGGUGUGGAAUUACAAUCAGUGACCAGUGAGGACAUGUGCUUCCGUGCUCCUUGAGGUCACGGGCCAGAAGACCACACUCGACUCCCCUGAAGGUCGGGCGAACAAGGGCAGCACUUCUCGCCCCGAGAGCCCCAUAACCUGCUCAUAGCACCUGCUCGUCCCUUCUCCGCUUUCUUCUUCUUUGUUUUUUCACCCUGCAAACAAACCCAUCAGCACAACAGAACUGACGUGAGAAACCAGGAACAGAGAGAUGGAACUCAACAACCCUUUCAAAGCAUCUUCUCAUGACGACCAGACGGGUGGCGGUGAGACGUCUCUUUUUGGUUGAACCCUCCUCCACCUUCAAGUUCAUCGCUAUGUAACUGCCCUCUUUACGGCUCAUGUUAAAACGAUUGUGCUGACACAAAUCACAGCAUGCCGUGGUUUCUCACGAAAUGUAUAUGUAGUGCUAAAAAUCCUUUUAUUGUCCAAAACAUGAUGUGAUCUGUUCACCUUGAGAAAUCAAACAUCCGUUCGGUAGACCAGAGAGGCUGGAAUGAAUUAUAGAGUGCAAUGUAUUUUCAGAUCAGUCGUGUUUACGUCACAUAUUUCCAAGUUGAAAAGAUAUUCAUGCUGUUUGGGGUGAACAGACGAUCUGAAGUUUUGUGUGUUUACAGAAAUUGUUUGUUUUAUUUCAUAGAAAGCUCAAGACUGUUGAACAUUCGGCAGAUUCACACGCUGCGAUCAGAAUGAGACAUGCUUACUGCACACUAUAUACUGCUUACAGUUAAAGCAUACAAAGAAACAGCUCUCAUUUUACACCAAUAGACGGGUUCAAAGUGACAACAUAAACAAACAUUACUGCGCAUGCGCGCGUUGGGCUGCAGUUAACGUCCGGUACACAUUCAAAAACAAUAAGAGCGCCUGUAGAUUAUUUCUGAUAAUAAUCCAAAGAAACCGAGAAGAACCGUUGUUUGGCUAAACUCGUCUCUCCAACAUUUUGAAUUUAGAUACCUGCGAUACCAAGCUCAACCGCUAGAUGUCAGUGUACCAUACGGCUUGUUCAAACGCGUCAAAACGACAGGACUCAUUCAACGAAUUGUUUAUUUAAUAAAAUGAACAUACAACAAAAUCUAACAACUCGUUUAGUUAAUACAAUACAAUAAUAUUAUAAAUGAAUAUUAACAAAUUAAAUAAAUA